UCACAGGAACAUAUACUUUAGCUCUGUAAUCUUCGUGGGUAAUGCAGAAUUAUGGGCCUAUAAGGGCAGGCCAACAAGAACUUUUCCUACUUUUGAGCUAUCUCUCCUUUUUUUUUAGACAGGGGUGAUUUUUCAGUUGCCAGGAAGAAAUUGUGAUAACUGGAAUGAAAGAAUAGAAAUAGAGCAUGUUCAGGGUAUCAGGUUCCAGGGUCCCAAAAGACUUAGCUUUGG
This is a small nucleolar RNA of Nycticebus coucang (slow loris), 231 nucleotides long. Lineage: Eukaryota; Metazoa; Chordata; Mammalia; Primates; Lorisidae. The record is from RefSeq and is a predicted model, not a curated record.